Molecule: non-coding RNA, 407 nt
Organism: Callorhinus ursinus (northern fur seal)
Lineage: Eukaryota; Metazoa; Chordata; Mammalia; Carnivora; Otariidae
Source: RefSeq, a predicted model, not a curated record
GGAGAUGAGAACAGAACCUCGCAGACCUGAGCUGGAUUCCUGCCCGCUUGAGGAAGCAAAAAGACAGAGAGGCAUCAGGGGACUUUGAGGGAGAGAUCCCGCAGGGACCGAUGGGGUCAGGGGUCUCUGAAGACUCACCAACGCACUUCUCUCAGGAAAGAGUCUGUGUCUCACUCUGGCUUAAGCACAAAGCCAGUUGAAGCAGAUGGUACGGAUCAAUUGGUUCUCUACAAAAAGCAUGACUACAAAGAGGAAGUCCUGCAUCCCUCCAUCACACCCCAGGUGAAGUGCAAAGAUUCGGAUAUACAACAAAGAGCAAAAUCACAAUCACUCAUGAUAUAACAGCCAGACGCCACUGUUGCUAGAAUUUGAGAAAGUCUCCUUCUCUACUUUUUAUCUAUGCCUGG